AGAGUUUGAUCAUGGCUCAGAACGUACGCUGGCGGCACGCCUAACACAUGCAAGUCGAACGAAGUAGCAAUACUUAGUGGCAGACGGGUGAGUAACAUGUGGGUAUCUACCCUUUGGCCUGGAAUAACACGAGGAAACUUGUGCUAAUACCGGAUAAGUCUUUACGGAGAAAGCUUUAUGCACCAUUGGAUGAGCCCGCACUUGAUUAGUUUGUUGGUAGGGUAAUGGCCUACCAAGACUAUGAUCAAUAGCUGAUUGAGAGGAUGAUCAGCCACAUUGGGACUGAGACACGGCCCAAACUCUACGGGAGGCAGCAGUGGGGAAUCUUGCACAAUGGAGGAAACUCUGAUGCAGCGAUGCCGCGUGAGUGAAGAAGGCCUUUGGGUUGUAAAGCUCUUUCGUCGGGGAAGAAAAUGACUGUACCCGAAUAAGAAGGUCCGGCUAACUUCGUGCCAGCAGCCGCGGUAAUACGAAGGGACCUAGCGUAGUUCGGAAUUACUGGGCUUAAAGAGUUCGUAGGUGGUUGAAAAAGUUGGUGGUGAAAUCCCAGAGCUUAACUCUGGAACUGCCAUCAAAACUUUUCAGCUAGAGUAUGAUAGAGGAAAGCAGAAUUUCUAGUGUAGAGGUGAAAUUCGUAGAUAUUAGAAAGAAUACCAAUUGCGAAGGCAGCUUUCUGGAUCAUUACUGACACUGAGGAACGAAAGCAUGGGUAGCGAAGAGGAUUAGAUACCCUCGUAGUCCAUGCCGUAAACGAUGUGUGUUAGACGUUGGAAAUUUAUUUUCAGUGUCGCAGGGAAACCGAUAAACACACCGCCUGGGGAGUACGACCGCAAGGUUAAAACUCAAAUGAAUUGACGGGGACCCGCACAAGUAGUGGAGCAUGUGGUUUAAUUCGAAGAUACGCGCAGAACCUUACCAACACUUGACAUGUUCGUCGCGACUCUAAGAGAUUAGAGUUUUCGGUUCGGCCGGACGAAACACAGGUGCUGCAUGGCUGUCGUCAGCUCGUGUCGUGAGAUGUUGGGUUAAGUCCCGCAACGAGCGCAACCCUCACUUUUAGUUGCCAUCAUUAAGUUGGGCACUCUGAAAGAACUGCCAGUGAUAAGCUGGAGGAAGGUGGGGAUGACGUCAAGUCCUCAUGGCCCUUACGUGUUGGGCUACACACGUGCUACAAUGGCAU
This 1180-nucleotide ribosomal RNA is filed under the name marine metagenome. RNAcentral describes it as "bacterial SSU rRNA". It matches the Rfam family "Bacterial small subunit ribosomal RNA", at positions 8 to 1236 of the family's 1533-position model. The record is from RNAcentral.